GGGGCCGUAGCUCAAUCGGUUAGAGCGCGGGACUCAUAAUCCUAAGGUUGUCGGUUCGAGUCCGACCGGCCCCA
RNAcentral lists this transfer RNA (74 nucleotides) under Planctomycetaceae bacterium. Its description in RNAcentral is "tRNA-Ile". It matches the Rfam family "tRNA". From Rfam's summary of the family: Transfer RNA (tRNA) molecules are approximately 80 nucleotides in length. RNAcentral also lists the same sequence under 1 other name. The record is from RNAcentral. Lineage: Bacteria; Pseudomonadati; Planctomycetota; Planctomycetia; Planctomycetales; Planctomycetaceae.